UCGUGAUAAGAAGGAUCUUGGAAUCAUGAUCGCCGGUUGAUUGUUCUGCUCUGGUUGGAAGUUAAAACCUAUCAUGAUACGACGAUAACAGGCUGACAAAAAGGCAUACUGUCAUGUUAAUUAUUCAUGGUGUACCGAGUGGAGCGCGAAGUAACACCCCCUGUCUGCAAACCUGAAAUCACUCCUAUUUGCAGCGAAGUCACACAGAAGGUCCACAGUGGGAACAUAGAAUUUCUAUAAUACUUUAGAUGUCACUUUUAGUUAUUCCUGUUGUUUGGAAGGUUGUCGUCUGCUAUUUAAUGUUGGAGCAACAUUUGAAAAAAGCGUGAAAAUUCAAGAUGUUUGUUUGAUGGUGCUGAGAUUUAAAUGAUGAUGCUUUACGAUGUUUAAAUAUUCCUCUUCUAAAGAUAAAUCCAGUUGGGAGAGAAUUGGUUGUAUUAAUUACUUAAUCGUCCUGAUCACAGAUAAUUAUCUACAUCCAGAAUAAUUUCCAAGAGAAAUGUUUGUGAAGUCGUCAAAUUGCAGGAGUUGUCAACAGUUCCACAAAAAGAUUUUUUCUGGAAGGAGACCUGCCAUGUUUUUACACAGGAAACUUACUACUAACUCCACAGAUUGGAAAAAAAAAGUCUAAAGCAAGAUGAUCUUUGACAUUGAAAUACAGAGAAGCAAAAGGUUUAAUUUACCGAAAUUUAGAAGUAAACUUUUGGUACAAAAUUUAAAUAUUUUAGGCUUAAUUUAAAGAUACACUCCCACUUAAAGAUACAUUCCCACUUGAAGAUUUUAGGCUAAAUUAAUGUUAAUCUGGCGUUCAUGACUUGGUGCUUUAAGUUUCUGUUAUCCUAACAGAUGGCAGGAGAACUCACACAGUUUUUGUGGGAAGGCAUCUUUAAUCUGGGGUUCAUGACUUUGUGUUAAGUUUCUGUCAUAACUGUUGUCAUUAAAAUUCAAAAGUAAGUUCUUAUGUAAAUGGCAGCCGUCUGAGCCAUGACAUGUUUCUCAAGCCGGUUGUACGUGAUAAGGAGUAGGGUCGCCUGUCCAACCUCGUGGGUUUUCUCCGGGUCCUCCGGUUUCCUCCCACUGCUAAAGACCCCUACACGCAAGCGAAUUAUUGAAAUAAAAUUAAAAACAUAUGUUAGUCCUGAAAUGACCUAGUUUGUGUCGAGUGGACGUUAAACCCAAUUUCUCUCUCUCUCUCGUUUCUCAAGCACCCAUGUCACACUUCAUGAAAUUCCAUCUCGCACACCCAGGGAGCUCAGCCACCCCACGCUUGAAACGCCUGAUGUGUAUUCUCUUGAUAACAAAUUUCUUGAUUGAUAGAAAAGAAAAAUCUCUACUGCAAAUAUGCCAGACUUUGAAAAUAUCCCCCAAAAAUUAUAUGAUUGAAUUAUAUAACUUUGGUUUUGAACGAUCAUUUAAUCUUUUUUCCAAAUAGUAUUUAGAAAGAUUCGUGGGGAUAGAUUCGUGUUAACAUAAAACUGGGAUUGGAUUUGAAAGAGGGUUUAUUGUGAAAAGCAUUUUCUACAACAAAACAUGGCUGAUCAAUAGACUAGGAUUGGUUUUCAUCCAUGGUAUUGAUAUUAAAAUAUUAAGGAUAUACAAAAGAAAUUAUUAUGUUUUUAAGACAACCCUUCCAAAAAAUCUGAUGCAGGAGUCAGAUUUUGUUUUUGUGUUUUUAUUUUGUCAUAGCGCGUGUGCUUUGUUUCAUAAGGUUUCGAUUUCCCGGUUGGGUUUUCUCUCGGUCCUCCGGUUUCCUCCUCCCACUGCUAAAGACCCCUAUACGCAAGCCAGUAAUUGAACCAAAUGUUAGUCCCGAAAUGACCUAGUUUACAUCUCAUGACCAUGACGAAAUCUGCAGGUGGCCUUAAUAUUUAGACCUGACCUGUUAUAGUCAGCAUAUAUAAUGUUGAAUAUGAUUCAUGCAACCUAUUUUUAGCAUUCAUUCAUUCAUUCAUUAUAUCAGAAAUGAAUUAUUAGAUAACAGACAGGAAAUUGAUUGAAUAUAAAUUUUUAUAUAUUGUUGUAUGGUCUGAUUGAAACCAUGAAUGAAUAGAUAAAAGUAGGUUGGGCCACAUGCAUUUGAAUUUCUGAUCUUCGAAAUCACCUGUUAAAUAUUUUCCUUCUUUUUUUGACCAAAAAAGACUAAUUUAAUACCAAAGGACUUUUUUUGUGCUGUUAAAAAGCUUCUGUUUCUAAAUUUCUAGGCUUUGAAAUUUUAAACAAAAGGUACCUGGAAAUAAGGGAACUGUCACAGACAAUGUCAGGCACAGAUUCAGGCUUUGUCAGGCACUAAACCUCUGGUGCCUGUCAUUUUGCCUUUUUUAUUGAUAUUAUUAAUACAUGUCUGGCACUAAGUUGAAAAUGUCGGGUACAAUGUACAUUUUGUCAGGUACAUCUAAAACCGUUAUUUCCAGGCCUGAACAAAACAUCUUUCAAGUGGUCUAUUUAUUUAUCAAGAUGCAGAAGAAUAGAAAAUCAAAUGGGUGUGGCCUAAUGCUGACUAGACAUUUAUGUAUUUUUGUAUUUGAUUAUGUUCUUACCAUAUUCUAUCAAAUGAGUGCCCGUCACCCCAUGUAUUAUGUUCUUACCAUAUUCUAUCAAAUGAGUGCCCGUCACCCCAUGUAUUAUGUUCUUACCAUAUUCUAGCAAAUGAGUGCCCGUCACCCCAUGUAUUAUGUUCUUAUCAUAUUCUACCAAAUGAGUGCCCGUCACCCCAUGUAUUAUGUUUUUACCAUAUUCUACCAAAUGAGUGCCCGUCACCCCAUGUAUUAUGUUCUUACCAUAUUCUAGCAAAUGAGUGCCCGUCACCCCAUGUAUUAUGUUCUUACCAUAUUCUACUAAAUGAGUGCCCGUCGCCCCAUGCAUUAUGUUUUUACCAUAUUCUACCAAAUGAACGCACUUAAUGUCUUGAAAUUGAUGAAAUUUAAC
Molecule: long non-coding RNA, 2925 nt
Organism: Patella vulgata (common limpet)
Lineage: Eukaryota; Metazoa; Mollusca; Gastropoda; Patellidae
Exons: 4
Source: RefSeq, a predicted model, not a curated record